This 469-nucleotide ribosomal RNA is filed under the name uncultured bacterium. Its description in RNAcentral is "partial 16S ribosomal RNA". It matches the Rfam family "Bacterial small subunit ribosomal RNA", at positions 29 to 506 of the family's 1533-position model. The record is from RNAcentral.
ACGAACGCUGGCGGCGUGCUUAACACAUGCAAGUCGAACGAUGAAGCCUAGCUUGCUAGGUGGAUUAGUGGCGAACGGGUGAGUAAUACGUGAGUAACCUACCUUUAACUCUGGGAUAAGCCUGGGAAACUGGGUCUAAUACCGGAUACGACCAAUCUCCGCAUGGGGUGUUGGUGGAAAGCGUUAUGUAGUGGUUAUAGAUGGGCUCACGGCCUAUCAGCUUGUUGGUGAGGUAACGGCUCACCAAGGCGACGACGGGUAGCCGGCCUGAGAGGGUGACCGGCCACACUGGGACUGAGACACGGCCCAGACUCCUACGGGAGGCAGCAGUGGGGAAUAUUGCACAAUGGGCGCAAGCCUGAUGCAGCGACGCCGCGUGAGGGAUGACGGCCUUCGGGUUGUAAACCUCUGUUAGCAGGGAAGAAGAGAGAUUGACGGUACCUGCAGAGAAAGCGCCGGCUAACUACGU